RNAcentral lists this small RNA (2777 nucleotides) under Pan troglodytes (chimpanzee). RNAcentral describes it as "retained intron". The record is from RNAcentral. Lineage: Eukaryota; Metazoa; Chordata; Mammalia; Primates; Hominidae.
AGCGGAAGUGCUCGUUGUGGGUGCACAAGGCGCGUUCGAGCAGCGGCGACCGAGGCGGCGAAGGAGCGCGCCAUGGAGCAUGUGACAGAGGGCUCCUGGGAAUCGCUGCCUGUGCCGCUGCACCCGCAGGUGCUGGGCGCGCUGCGGGAGCUGGGCUUCCCGUACAUGACGCCGGUGCAGUCCGCAACCAUCCCUCUGUUCAUGCGAAACAAAGAUGUCGCUGCAGAAGCGGUCACAGGUAGUGGCAAAACACUCGCUUUUGUCAUCCCCAUCCUGGAAAUUCUUCUGAGAAGAGAAGAGAAGUUAAAAAAGAGUCAGGUUGGAGCCAUAAUCAUCACCCCCACUCGAGAGCUGGCCAUUCAAAUAGACGAGGUCCUGUCGCAUUUCACGAAGCACUUCCCCGAGUUCAGGUGAAUUGGAUGCAGUGUCCCUGUUAGCCAUGGGCUGUUUUGUCGAACUUAAUCAAAGGCUGUUUUCUUGUUGUAGCCAGAUUCUUUGGAUCGGAGGCAGGAAUCCUGGAGAAGAUGUUGAGAAGUUUAAGCAACAAGGGUGAGUUUGCUCGUGUCUGCUUGUUUCUUUGCUUGCUUUUGGCAUUGAACCUAAGAAUCGAUGUGUGAUCUCAGCCUAACUGUGGGUCCCCCUUUCAGCAGCCUCCUCCCCCUGCAAAAAGGUGUUUUCUCCAGGCCAGCUUCCCAUUGUGCUUUGCUGGCUCCUUCCCAUAAGGCCCUGAUGAGAACUUCACAAACUCAGGUUCUUACAGAGGUCAAGAGAACGACGGGAAGAUAAAUGAGUGGUCAGGAUAGCUGAGCUCGGGGCUGGGGGAUGGUGAGGAACUGGCCAGCAGCUGCCUUGAAUACUCAGCUCCAGCUGGUAGUUGCCUGGGAGGACUCGGCUCAGUAGUGGCAGGUUUUGAAUUUUUUAAAAAGAAGAUGGAAUUCCAGAUUUGUGUGUGUAAUCUCCUGAUUUUUUAACUGUUGGCGUGUAAUCCACAUUUGAAAAACACAUCUUGUAGGUGAGCCAGUCUGAGGGAGCCACAUCUGGCCCUGAGUCUGCCAGUUUGUGAUCUUUACAUAGGAUUCUCUAAUUCUGUCAACAUUUCCAUUUUACAUGUGAGUUACCUGGGACCUACAAUGGUUGAGUAACUUGCGUAGGUCAGAGGUUGGUAAGCUUUUUUUGUAAAGGAGCAGAUGGUAAAUGUUUUCGGCUUUGUGAACCAUAUGGUCUCCAUCACAGUUACUCAACUGCUGUUGUAGUGUGAAGGCAGCGAUAGACAACAUGUGAAUAAAUGGGCGUGGUUGUCUGCCAAUAAAAUACUUGGCAAGGACAGGCAGCAGCCCAGGUUUGGUCCGGGAGCUGGAGUUUGCCAACCUUGCCUGGGUCAUAGCCCAGAACCCAGAUCCCGUCUCACCACAGCCCUGUCUUUCUACCCUGCAGCACUCUUCCACUCUCAUGCCCUUCGUUCUCUUCACUAGGGCUUAAAUGACUUUGGGGGGAUAUAAAACUUGGUAUUUUGGUAAUCAUCAACCACAUUCCCAAGAUCCAGAGAGUUUGGUAAAUGUUAACUUUCUUUCCAAAGUGGGAACAUCAUUGUGGCCACUCCAGGCCGCUUGGAGGACAUGUUCCGGAGGAAGGCCGAAGGCUUGGAUCUGGCCAGCUGUGUGCGAUCCCUGGAUGUCCUGGUGUUGGAUGAGGCAGACAGACUUCUGGACAUGGGGUUUGAGGCAAGCAUCAACACCAUUCUGGAGUUUUUGCCAAAGCAGAGGAGAACAGGCCUUUUCUCUGCCACUCAGACGCAGGAAGUGGAGAACCUGGUGAGAGCGGGCCUCCGGAACCCUGUCCGGGUCUCAGUGAAGGAGAAGGGCGUGGCAGCCAGCAGUGCCCAGAAGACCCCCUCCCGCCUGGAAAACUACUACAUGGUAUGCAAGGCAGAUGAGAAAUUUAAUCAGCUGGUCCAUUUUCUUCGCAAUCAUAAGCAGGAGAAACACCUGGUCUUCUUCAGCACCUGUGCCUGUGUGGAAUACUAUGGGAAGGCUCUGGAAGUGCUGGUGAAGGGCGUGAAGAUUAUGUGCAUUCAUGGAAAGAUGAAAUAUAAACGCAAUAAGAUCUUCAUGGAGUUCCGCAAAUUGCAAAGUGGGAUUUUAGUGUGCACUGAUGUGAUGGCCCGGGGAAUUGAUAUUCCUGAAGUCAACUGGGUUUUGCAGUAUGACCCUCCCAGCAAUGCAAGUGCCUUCGUGCAUCGCUGCGGUCGCACAGCUCGCAUUGGCCACGGGGGCAGCGCUCUGGUGUUCCUCCUGCCCAUGGAAGAGUCAUACAUCAAUUUCCUUGCAAUUAACCAAAAAUGCCCCCUGCAGGAGAUGAAGCCCCAGAGAAACACAGCGGACCUUCUGCCAAAACUCAAGUCCAUGGCCCUGGCUGACAGAGCUGUGUUUGAAAAGGGCAUGAAAGCCUUUGUGUCAUAUGUCCAAGCUUAUGCAAAGCAUGAAUGCAACCUGAUUUUCAGAUUAAAGGCCUUGCUCAAGGUUUUGCCCUGCUGAGGAUGCCCAAGAUGCCAGAAUUGAGAGGAAAGCAGUUUCCAGAUUUUGUGCCCGUGGACGUUAAUACCGACACGAUUCCAUUUAAAGAUAAAAUCAGAGAAAAGCAGAGGCAGAAACUCCUGGAGCAACAAAGAAGAGAGAAAACAGAAAAUGAAGGGAGAAGAAAAUUCAUAAAAAAUAAAGCUUGGUCAAAGCAGAAGGCCAAAAAAGAAAAGAAGAAAAAAAUGAAUGAGAAAAGGAAAA